This 227-nucleotide long non-coding RNA is filed under the name Ananas comosus (pineapple). Its description in RNAcentral is "long non-coding RNA (ACOM_LNC041616)". The record is from RNAcentral. Lineage: Eukaryota; Viridiplantae; Streptophyta; Magnoliopsida; Poales; Bromeliaceae.
GAAGUGAGGAAGUUGCGAAGUCGCAAGAUUCCGUAUGUAAAAGUCCAAUGGAGCAACCAUGCUGUGCGAGAAGCCACUUGGGAGCUCGAGGAGUCAAUGCGGAGAGAGUAUCCGCAUCUAUUCGAAUCGACGAGUUAAGGUAUGCGUAAUUUCGCGGACGAAAUUAUUUUAAGGGGUGGAGAAUGUAAUAUACCGAAAAUUCGGAAAAUAAAUAUCGAACUUUAGUC